CCUACGGGAGGCAGCAGUGAGGAAUAUUGGUCAAUGGACGAGAGUCUGAACCAGCCAAGUAGCGUGAAGGAUGACUGCCCUACGGGUUGUAAACUUCUUUUAUAAAGGAAUAAAACGAGGCACGUGUGCCUGUUUGCAUGUACUUUAUGAAUAAGGAUCGGCUAACUCCGUGCCAGCAGCCGCGGUAAUACGGAGGAUCCGAGCGUUAUCCGGAUUUAUUGGGUUUAAAGGGAGCGUAGAUGGGUUGUUAAGUCAGUUGUGAAAGUUUGCGGCUCAACCGUAAAAUUGCAGUUGAUACUGGCAGUCUUGAGUACAGCUGAGGUAGGCGGAAUUCGUGGUGUAGCGGUGAAAUGCUUAGAUAUCACGAAGAACCCCGAUUGCGAAGGCAGCUUACUAAGCUGUGACUGACAUUGAUGCUCGAAGGUGUGGGUAUCAAACAGGAUUAGAUACCCUAGUAGUC
Molecule: ribosomal RNA, 460 nt
Filed under: uncultured bacterium
Lineage: Bacteria
Description: partial 16S ribosomal RNA
Rfam family: Bacterial small subunit ribosomal RNA
Source: RNAcentral